Molecule: ribosomal RNA, 301 nt
Filed under: uncultured bacterium
Lineage: Bacteria
Description: partial 16S ribosomal RNA
Rfam family: Bacterial small subunit ribosomal RNA
Source: RNAcentral
CAGUCGCCGCGGUAAUACGUAGGUGGCAAGCGUUGUCCGGAAUUAUUGGGCGUAAAGGGCUCGCAGGCGGUUUCUUAAGUCUAAUGUGAAAGCCCCCGGCUCAACCGGGGAGGGUCAUUGGAGACUGGGAAACUUGAGUGCAGAAGAGGAGAGUGGAAUUCCACGCGUAGCGGUGAAAUGCGUAGAGAUGUGGAGGAACACCAGUGGCGAAGGCGACUCUCUGGUCUGUAACUGACGCUGAGGAGCGAAAGCGUGGGGAGCGAACAGGAUUAGAUACCCCAGUAGUCCCUGUCUCUUAUAA